This 33323-nucleotide long non-coding RNA is filed under the name Triticum aestivum (bread wheat). Its description in RNAcentral is "long non-coding RNA (TAES_LNC019905)". Lineage: Eukaryota; Viridiplantae; Streptophyta; Magnoliopsida; Poales; Poaceae. The record is from RNAcentral.
UUUGAAAUACUUGCACACAAACCGCGAGAAAGCGUUCCUGGAAAUCUCAGCCCAAAAAAGGAUGUUUAGUAAUUCUAAAAGGGACUACAGGAUGAAAAACAAUAGUUUUGGCAGUUAAAGUUUGAGAUUUGACGGUGUCGUAGAUCCGUUUGGUCAUCAGGUGUUACGAGCCACACCCAUGUCUAGCUAGAAUAGUGUGUUAGGCUCAGGCUAGAGAAGAAACGGGGAACAAACUGAUGAAAGAAUGAUCAAACCGAGGGGAUUCACUCAGAACUAACAAGAAUGAUAACGUGCUCCGACUAGAGCGGUUUAGGAACUUCUGGAAGGCUCUAGGGGAAUAAAGAUGGAAUGACUUCUAAUUUUUAGGUCCGUAUGAUUUGAAAUACUUUCACACAAACCGCGCGAAAGCGUUCCUGGAAAUCUCAGCCCCAAAAAGGACGUUUAGUAAUUCUAGAAGGGACUAUAGGAUGAAAAACAAUAGUUUUGGUAGUUAAAGUUUGAGAUUCGAUGGUGCCGUGGAUCCGUUUGGUCAUCAGGUGUUACGAGCCACACCCAUGUCUAGCUAGAAUAGUAUGUUAGGCUCAGGUUAGAGAAGAAACGGGGAACAAACUGAUGAAAAAAUGAUCAUACCAAGGGAAUUCACUCAGAACUAACAAGAAUGAUAACGUGCUCCGACUGGAGCGGUUUAGGAACUGCUGGAAGGCUCUAGGGGAAUAAAGAUGGAAUGACUUCUAAUUUUUACGUCCGUAUGAUUUGAAAUACUUGCACACAAACCACGCAAAAGCGUUCCUGGAAAUCUCAGCCUAAAAAAGGACGUUUAGUAAUUCUAAAAGGGACUACAGGAUGAAAAAUAAUAGUUUGGGCAGUUAAAAUUUGAGAUUCAACGGUGCCGUAGAUCCGUUUGGUCAUGAGGUGUUACGAGCCACACCCAUGUCUAGCUAGAAUAGUGUGUUAGGCUCAGGCUAGAGAAGAAACGGGGAACAAAUUGAUGAAAGAAUGAUCAUACCGAGGGAAUUCACUCAGAACUAACAAGAAUGAUAACGUGCUCCGACUGGAGCAGUUUGGAAACUGUUGGUAGGCUCUAGGGGAAUAAAGAUGGAAUCACUUCAAAUUUUUAGGUCCGUAUGAUUUGAAAUACUGGCACACAAACCGCGCGAAAGUGUUCCUGGAAAUCUCAGCCCAAAAAAGGACGUUUAGUAAUUCUAAAAGGGACUACAGGAUGAAAAACAAUACUUUUGGCAGUUAAAGUUUGAGAUUCGACGGUGCCGUAGAUCUGUUUGGUCAUCAGGUGUAACGAGCCACACCCAUGUCUAGCUAGAGUAGUGUGCUAGGCUCAGACUAGAGAAGAAACGGGGAACAAAGUGAUGAAAGAAUGAUCAUACCGAGGGAAUUCACUCAGAACUAACAAGAAUGAUAACGUGCUCCGACUGGAGCGGUUUAGGAACUGCUGGAAGGCUCUAGGGAAAUAAAGAUGGAAUGACUUCUAAUUUUUAGGUCCAUAUCAUUUGAAAUACGUGCACACAAACCCCGAGAAAGCGUUCCUGGAAAUCUCGGCCGAAAAAAGGAUGUUUAAUAAUUCUAAAAGGGACUACAGGAUGAAAAACAAUAGUUUUGGCAGUUAAAGUUUGAGAUUUGACGGUGCCGUAGAUCUGUUUGGUCAUCAGGGGUUACGAGCCACACCCAUGUCUAGCUAGAAUAGUGUGUUAGGCUCAGGCUAGAGAAGAAACGGGGAACAAAUUGAUGAAAGAAUGAUCAUACCGAGGGAAUUCACUCAGAACUAACAAGAAUGAUAACGUGCUCCGACUGGAGCAGUUUGGAAACUGUUGGUAGGCUCUAGGGGAAUAAAGAUGGAAUCACUUCUAAUUUUUAGGUCCGUAUGAUUUGAAAUACAUGCACACAAACCCCAAGAAAGCGUUCCUGGAAAUCUCGCCCCGAAAAACGACGUUUAGUAAUUCUAAAAGGGACUACAGGAUGAAAAACAAUACUUUUGGCAGUUAAAGUUUGAGAUUCGACGGUGCCGUAGAUCUGUUUGGUCAUCAGGUGUAACGAGCCACACCCAUGUCUAGCUAGAGUAGUGUGCUAGGCUCAGACUAGAGAAGAAACGGGGAACAAAGUGAUGAAAGAAUGAUCAUACCGAGGGAAUUCACUCAGAACUAACAAGAAUGAUAACAUGCUCCGACUGGAGCGGUUUAGGAAGUGCUGGAAGGCUCUAGGGAAAUAAAGAUGGAAUGACUUCUAAUUUUUAGGUCCAUAUCAUUUGAAAUACGUGCACACAAACCCCGAGAAAGCGUUCCUGGAAAUCUCGGCCGAAAAAAGGAUGUUUAAUAAUUCUAAAAGGGACUACAGGAUGAAAAACAAUAGUUUUGGCAGUUAAAGUUUGUGAUUCGAUGGUGCCGUAGAUCUGUUUGGUCAUCAGGUGUUACGAGCCACACCCAUGUCUAGCUAGAACAGUGUGUUAGGCUCAGGCUAGAGCAGAAACGGGGAACAAACUUAUGAAAGAAUGAUCAUACCGAGGGAAUUCACUCAGAACUAACAAGAAUGAUAACGUGCUCCAACUGGAGCGGUUUAGGAACUGCUGGAAGGCUCUAGGGGAAUAAAGAUGGAAUGACUUCAAAUUUUUAGGUCCGUAUGAUUUGAAAUACUUGCACACAAACCGCUAGAAAGCGUUCCUGGAAAUCUCAGCCCAAAAAAGGACGUUUAGUAAUUCUAAAAGGGACUACAGGAUGAAAAACAAUAGUUCUGGCAGUUAAAGUUUGAGCUUCGAUAAUGUCGUAGAUCCGUUUGGUCAUCAGGUGUAACGAGCCACACCCAUUUCUAGCUAGAGUAGUGUGCUAGGCUCAGACUAGAGAAGAAAUGGGCAACAAACUAAUGAAAGAAUGAUCAUACCGAGGGAAUUCACUCAGAACUAACAAGAAUGAUAACGUGCUCCGACUGGAGCGGUUUAGGAACUGCUGGAAGGCUCUAGGGGAAUAAAGAAGGAAUGACUUCUAAUUUUUAGGUCCGUAUGAUUUGAAAUGUGUGCACACAAACCCCGAGAAAGCAUUCCUGGAAAUCUCGGCCCAAAAAAGGACGUUUAGUAAUUCUAAAAGGGACUACAGGAUGAAAAACAAUAGUUUUGGCAGUUAAAGUUUGAGAUUCGAUAAUGCCGUAGAUCCGUUUGGUCAUCAGGUGUAACGAGCCACACCCAUGUCUGGUUAGAGUAGUGUGCUAGGCUCAGACUAGAUAAGAAACGGGGAACAAACUGAUGAAAGAAUGAUCAUACCGAGCGAAUUCACUCAGAACUAACAAGAAUGAUAACAUGCUCCGACUGGAGCGGUUUAGGAACUGCUGGAAGGCUCUAGGGGAAUAAAGAUGGAAUGACUUCUAAUUUUUAGGUCCGUAUGAUUUGAAAUACUUGCACACAAACCACGCGAAAGCGUUCCUGGAAAUCUCAGCCCAAAAAAGGACGUUUAGUAAUUCUAAAAGGGACUACAGGAUGAAAAACAAUAGUUUUGGCAGUUAAAGUUUGAGAUUCGACAGUGCCGUAGAUCCGUUUGGUCAUCAGGUAUUACGAGCCACACCCAUGUCUAGCUAGAAUAGUGUGCUAGGCUCAGGCUAGAGAAGAAACGGGGAACAAACUGAUGAAAGAAUGAUCAAACCGAGGGAAUUCACUCAGAACUAACAAUAAUGAUAACGUGCUCCGACUGGUGCGGUUUAGGAACUGCUGGAAGGCUCUAGGGGAAUAAAGAUGGAAUGACUUCUAAUUUUUAGGUCCGUAUGAUUUGAAAUACUUGCACACAAACCGCGCGAAAGCGUUCCUGGAAAUCUCAGCCCAAAAAAGGACGUUUAGUAAUUUUAAAAGGGACUAUAGGAUGAAAAACAAUAGUUUUGGCAAUUAAAGUUUGAGAUUCGACGGUGUCGUAGAUCCGUUUGGUCAUCAGGUGUUACGAGCCACACCCAUGUCUAGCUAGAAUAGUAUGUCAGGCUCAGGUUAGAGUAGAAACGGGGAACAAACUGAUGAAAGAAUGAUCAUACCAAGGGAAUUCACUCAGAACUAUCAAGAAUGAUAACGUGCUCCGACUGGAGUGAUUUAGGAACUGCUGGAAGGCUCUAGGGGAAUAAAGAUGGAAUGACUUCUAAUUUUUACGUCCGUAUGAUUUGAAAUACUUGCACACAAAUCACGCAAAAGCGUUCCUGGAAAUCUCAGCCUAAAAAAGGACGUUUAGUAAUUCUAAAAGGGACUACAGGAUGAAAAACAAUAGUUUGGGCAGUUAAAAUUUGAGAUUCGACGGUGCCGUAGAUCCGUUUGGUCAUCAGGUGUUACGAGCGACACCCUUGUCUAGCUAGAAUAGUGUGUUAGGCUCAGACUAGAGAAGAAACGGGGAACAAAGUGAUGAAAGAAUGAUCAUACCGAGGGAAUUCACUCAGAACUAACAAGAAUGAUAACGUGCUCCGACUGGAGCGGUUUAGUAACUGCUGGAAGGCUCUAGGGGAAUGAAGAUGGAAUGACUUCUAAUUUUUAGGUCCGUAUGAUUUGAAAUACAUGCACACAAACCCUGAGAAAGCGUUCCUGGAAAUCUCGGUCGAAAAAAGGAUGUUUAAUAAUUCUAAAAGGGACUACCGGAUGAAAAACAAUAGUUUUGGCAGUUAAAGUUUGUGAUUCGAUGGUGCCGUAGAUCUGUUUGGUCAUCAGGUGUUACGAGCCACACCCAUGUCUAUCUAGAAUAGUGUGUUAGGCUCAGGCUAGAGCAGAAACGGGGAACAGACUUAUGAAAGAAUGAUCAUACCGAGGGAAUUCACUCAGAACUAACAAGAAUGAUAACGUGCUCCGACUGGCGCGGUUUAGGAACUGCUGGAAGGCUCUAGGGGAAUAAAGAUGGAAAGACUUCUAAUUUUUAGGUCCGUAUGAUUUGAAAUACUUGCACACAAACCGCACGAAAGCGUUCCUGGAAAUCUCAGCCUAAAAAGGAUGUUUAGUAAUUCUAAAAGGGACUACAAGAUGAAAAAUAAUAGUUUGGGCAGUUAAAAUUUGAGAUUCGACGAUGCCGUAGAUCCGUUUGGUCAUCAGGUGUUAUGAGCCACACCCAUGUCUAGCUAGAAUAGUGUGUUAGGCUCAGGCUAGAGAAGAAACGGGGAACAAACUGAUGAAAGAAUGAUCAUACCGAGGGAAUUCACUCAGAACUAACAAGAAUGAUAACGUGCUCCGACUGGAGCAGUUUAGAAACUGCUGGAAGGCUCUAAUGGAAUAAAGAUGGAAUGCCUUCAAAUUUCUAGGUCCGUAUGAUUUGAAAUACUUGCACACAAACCGCUCGAAAGCGUUCCUGGAAAUCUCAGCCCAAAAAAGGACGUUUAGUAAUUCUAAAAGGGACUACAGGAUGAAAAACAAUAGUUUUGGCAGUUAAAGUUUGAGAUUCGAUGGUGCCGUAGAUCCGUUUGGUCAUCAGGUGUAACGAGCCACACACAUGUCUAGCUAGAGUAGUGUGCUAGGCUCAGACUAGAGAAGAAACGGGGAACAAAGUGAUGAAAGAAUGAUCAUACCGAGGGAAUUCACUCAGAACUUACAAGAAUGAUAACGUGCUCCGACUGGAGCGCUUUAGUAACUGCUGGAAGGCUCUAGGCGAAUAAAGAUGGAAUGACUUCUAAUUUUUAGGUCCGUAUGAUUUGAAAUACUUGCACACAAACCACGCAAAACCGUUCCUAGAAAUCUCGGUCGAAAAAAGGACGUUUAGUAAUUCUAAAAGGGACUACAGGAUGAAAAACAAUAGUUUUGGCAGUUAAAGUUUGAGAUUCGAUGGUGCCGUAGAUCCGUUUGGUCAUCAGGUGUUACGAGCCACACCCAUGUCUAGCUAGAGUAGUGUGCUAGGUUCAGACUAGAGAAGAAACGGGGAACAAAGUGAUUAAAGAAUGAUCAUACCGAGGGAAUUCACUCAGAACUAACAAGAAUGAUAACGUGCUCCGACUGGAGCGGUUUAGGAACUGCUGGAAGGCUCUAGGGGAAUAAAGAUGGAAUGACUUCUAAUUUUUACGUCCGUAUGAUUUGAAAUACAUGCACACAAACCACGCAAAAGCGUUCCUGGAAAUCUCAGCCUAAAAAAGGACGUUUAGUAAUUCUAAAAGGGACUACAGGAUGAAAAAUAAUAGUUUGGGCAGUUAAAAUUUGAGAUUCGACGCUGCCGUAGAUCCGUUUGGUCAUCAGGUCUUACGAGCCACACCCAUGUCUAGCUAGAAUAGUGUGUUAGGCUCAGGCUAGAGAAGAAACGGGGAACAAACUGAUGAAAGAAUGAUCAUACCGAGGGAAUUCACUCAGAACUAACAAGAAUGAUAACGUGCUCCGACUGGAGCAGUUUAGAAACUCCUGGAAGGCUCUAGGGGAAUAAAGAUGGAAUGACUUCAAAGUUUUAGGUCCGUAUGAUUUGAAAUACUUGCACACAAACCGCGUGAAAGCGUUCCUGGAAAUCUCAACCCAAAAAAGGGCGUUUAGUAAUUCUAAAAGGGACUACAGGAUGUAAAACAAUAGUUUUGGCAGUUAAAGUUUGAGAUUCGAUGGUGCCGUAGAUCCGUUUGGUCAUCAGGUGUAACGAGCCACACCCAUGUCUAGCUAGAGUAGUGUGCUAGGCUCAGACUAGAGAAGAAACGGGGAACAAAGUGAUGAAAGAAUGAUCAUACCGAGGGAAUUCACUCAUAACUAACAAGAAUGAUAACGUGCUCUGACUUGAGCGGUUUAGGAACUGCUGGAAGGCUAUAGGGGAAUAAAGAUGGAAUGACUUCAAAUUUUUAGGUCCGUAUGAUCUGAAAUACUUGCACACAAACCGCGAGAAAGCGUUCCUGGAAAUCUCAACCCAAAAAAGGACGUUUAGUAAUUCUAAAAGGGACUACAGGAUGAAAAACAAUAGUUCUGGCAGUUAUUGUUUGAGAUUCGAUAAUCUCGUAGAUCCGUUUGGUCAUCAGGUGUAACGAGCCACACCCAUGUCUAGCUAGAGUAGUGUGCUAGGCUCAGACUAGAGAAGAAACGGGGAACAAACUGAUGAAAGAAUGAUCAUACCGAGGGAAUUCACUUAGAACUAACAAGAAUGAUAACGUGCUCCGACUGGAGCGGUUUAGGAACUGCUGGAAGGCUCUAGGGGAAUAAAGAAGGAACGACUUCUAAUUUUUAGGUCCGUAUGAUUUGAAAUAUGUGCACACAAACCACGAGAAAGCGUUCCUAGAAAUCUCGGCCCAAAAGAGGACGUUUAGUAUUCUAAAAGGGACUACAGAAUGAAAAACAAUAGUUUUGGCAGUUAAAGUUUGAGAUUUGACGGUGCCGUAGAUCUGUUUGGUCAUCAGGGGUUACGAGCCACACCCAUGUCUAGCUAGAAUAGUGUGUUAGGCUCAGGCUAGAAAAGAAACGGGGAACAAAGUGAUGAAAGAAUGAUCAUACCGAGGGAAUUCACUCAGAACUAACAAGAAUGAUAACAUGCUCCGACUGGAGCGGUUUAGGAACUGCUGGAAGGCUCUAGGGGAAUAAAGAUGGAAUGACUUCUAAUUUUUAGGUCCGUAUGAUUUGAAAUACUUGCACACAAACCGCGCGAAAGCGUUCCUGGAAAUCUCAGCCCAAAAAAGGACGUUUAGUAAUUCUAAAAGGGACUACAGGAUGAAAAACAAUAGUUUUGGCAGUUAAAGUAUGAGAUUCAACGGUGCCGUAGAUCCGUUUGGUCAUUAGGUGUUACGAGCCACACCCAUGUCUAGCUAGAAUAGUGUGCUAGGCUCAGGCUAGAGAAGAAACGGGGAACAAACUGAUGAAAGAAUGAUCAAACCGAGGGAAUUCACUCAGAACUAACAAUAAUGAUAACGUGCUCCGACUGGAGCGGUUUAGGAACUGCUGGAAGUCUCUAGGGGAAUAAAGAUGGAAUGACUUCUAAUUUUUACGUUCGUAUGAUUUGAAAAACUUGCCCAUAAACCGCGCGAAAGUGUUCCUGGAAAUCUCAGCCCAAAAAAGGACGUUUAGUAAUUUUAAAAGGGACUACACGAUGAAAAACAAUAGUUUUGGCAGGUAAAGUUUGAGAUUCGACAGUGCCGUAGAUCCGUUUGGUCAUCAGGUGUUACGAGCCACACCCAUGUCUAGCUAGAAUAGUAUGUUACGCUCAGGUUAGAGAAGAAACGGGGAACAAACUGAUGAAAGAUGAUCAUACCAAGGGAAUUCACUCAGAACUAACAAGAAUGAUAACGUGCUCCGACUGGAGCGGUUUAGGAACUGCUGGAAGGCUCUAGGGGAAUAAAGAUGGAAUGACUUCUAAUUUUUACGUCUGUAUGAUUUGAAAUACUUGCACACAAACAACGCAAAAGCAUUCCUGGAAAUCUCAUCCUAAAAAAGGACGUUUAGUAAUUCUAAAAGGGACUACAGGAUGAAAAAUAAUAGUUUGGGAAGUUAAAAUUUGAGAUUCGAUAGUGCCGUAGAUCCGUUUGGUCAUCAGGUGUUAGGAGCCACACCCAUGUCUAGCUAGAAUAGUGUGUUAGGCUCAGGCUAGAGAAGAAACAGGGAACAAACUGAUGAAAGAAUGAUCAUACCGAGGGAAUUCACUCAGAACUAGCAAGAAUGAUAACGUGCUCCGACUGGAGCAGUUUUGAAACUGCUGGAAGGCUCUAGGGGAAUAAUGAUGGAAUGACUUCUAAGUUUUUGGUCCGUAUGAUUUGAAAUACGUGCACACAAACCCAGAGAAAGUGUUCUUGGAAAUCUCGGCCGAAAAAAGGAUGUUUAAUAAUUCUAAAAGGGACUACAGGAUGAAAAACAAUAGUUUUGGCAGUUAAAGUUUGUGAUUCGAUGGUGCUGUAGAUCUGUUUGGUCAUCAGGUGUUAUGAGCCACACCCAUGUCUAGCUAGAACAGUGUGUUAGGCUCAGGCUAGAGCAGAAACGGGGAACAAACUUAUGAAAGAAUGAUCAUACCGAGGGAAUUCACUCAGAACUAACAAGAAUGAUAACGUGCUCCGACUGGAGAGGUUUAGGAACUGCUGGAAGGCUCUAGGGGAAUAAAGAUGGAAUGACUUCAAAUUUUUAGGUCUGUAUGAUCUGAAAUACUUGCACACAAACCGCGAGAAAGCGUUCCUGGAAAUCUCAGCCCAAAAAAGGACGUUUAGUGAUUCUAAAAGGGACUACGGGAUAAAAAACAAUAGUUUUGGCAGUUAAAGUUUGAGAUUCGAUAAUGCCGUAGAUCCGUUUGGUCAUCAGGUGUAACGAGCCACACCCAUGUCUAGCUAGAGUAGUGUGCUAGGCUCAUACUAGAGAAGAAAUGGGGAACAAACUGAUGAAAGAAUGAUCAUACCGAGGGAGUUCACUCAAAACUAACAUGAAUGAUAACGUGCUCCGACUGGAGCGGUUUAGGAACUGCUGGAAGGCUCUAGGGGAAUAAAGAUGGAAUGACUUCUAAUUUUUAGGUCCGUAUGAUUUGAAAUACAUGCACACAAACCCCAAGAAAGCGUUCCUGGAAAUCUCGCCCCGAAAAACGACGUUUAGUAAUUCUAAAAGGGACUAUAGGAUGAAAAACAAUAGUUUUGGCAGUUAAAGUUUGAGAUUUGACGGUGCCGUAGAUCUGUUUGGUCAUCAGGUGUUACGAGCCACACCCAUUUCUAGCUAGAAUAGUGUGUUAGGCUCAGGCUAGAAAAGAAACGGGGAACAAAGUGAUGAAAGAAUGAUCAUACCGAGGGAAUUCACUCAGAACUAACAAGAAUGAUAACAUGGUCCGACUGGAGCGGUUUAGGAACUGCUGGAAGGCUCUAGGGGAAUAAAGAUGGAAUGACUUCUAACUUUUAGGUCCGUAUGAUUUGAAUUACUUGCACACAAACCGCGCGAAAGCGUUCCUGGAAAUCUCAGCCCAAAAAAGGACGUUUAGUAAUUCUAAAAGGGACUACAGGAUGAAAAACAAUAGUUUUGGCAGUUAAAGUUUGAGAUUCGACGGUGCCGUAGAUCCGUUUGGUCAGCAGGUGUUACGAGCCACACCCAUGUCUAGCUAGAGUAGUGUGCUAGGUUCAGACUAGAGAAGAAAUGUUGGGGAACGUAGCAGAAAUUCAAAAUUUUCCUACGUGUCACCAAGAUCUAUCUAUGGAGAGACUAGCAACGAGGGAAGGAGAGUGCAUCUACAUACCCUUGUAGAUCGCUAAGCGGAAGCGUUCAAGUGAACGGGGUUGAUGGAGUCGUACUCGUCGUGAUUCAGCUCACCGAUGAUCCUAGUGCCGAACGGACGGCACCUCCGCGUUCAACACACGUACAGCUCGACGAUGUCUCCCACGCCUUGAUCCAGCAAGGAGAGAGGGAGAGGUUGAGGAAGACUCCAUCCAGCAGAAGCACAACGGCGUGGUGGUGAUGGAGGAGCAUGGCAAUCCUGCAGGGCUUCGCCAAGCACCUAUGGGAGAGGAGGAGGUGUCACGGGAGGGAGGGAGGCGCCAAGGGCUCAGGUAUAGAUGCCCUCCCUCCCCUCCACUAUAUAUAGGGGCAAGGGAGAGGGGGGAGGCGCAGCCUUGCCCCUUCCUCCAAGGAAGGGGUGCGGCUAAGAGGGGGGGAGGAGUCCAUCCUCCCCAAGGCACCUCGGAGGUGCCUUCCCCCUUUAGGACUCUCCCCUUUUUCCUAUAUCUUGGCGCAUGGGCCUCUAGGGGCUGGUUCCCUUGGCCCAUGUAGGCCCAGGCGCACCCCCUACAGCCCAUGUGGCCCCCCGGGGCAGGUGGCCCCACCUGGUGGGCCCCCGGGACCCUUCCGGUGGUCCCGGUACAAUACCGAUGACCCCGAAACUUGUCCCGAUGGCCGAAACAGGACUUCCUAUAUAUAAAUCUUUACCUCCGGACAAUUCCGGAACUCCUCGUGACGUCCGGGAUCUCAUCCGGGACUCCGAACAACAUUCGGUAACCACAUACAAACUUCCUUUAUAACCCUAGCGUCAUCGAACCUUAAGUGUGUAGACCCUACGGGUUCGGGAGACAUGUAGUCAUGACCGAGAUGUUCUCCGGUCAAUAACCAACAGCGGGAUCUGGAUACCCAUGUUGGCUCCCACAUGUUCCACGAUGAUCUCAUCGGAUGAACCACGAUGUCAAGGACUCAAUCAAUCCCGUAUACAAUUCCCUUUGUCUAGCGGUAUGGUACUUGCCCGAGAUUCGAUCGUCGGUAUACCGAUACCUUGUUCAAUCUCGUUACCGGCAAGUCUCUUUACUCAUUUCGUAACACAUCAUCCCGUGAUCAACCCCUUGGUCACAUUGUGCACAUUAUGAUGAUGUCCUACCGAGUGGGCCCAGAGAUACCUCUCCGUUUACACGGAGUGACAAAAUCCCAAUCUCGAUUCGUGCCAACCCAACAGACACUUUCAGAGAUACCCGUAGUGUACCUUUACAGCCACCCAGUUACGUUGUGACGUUUGGCACACCCAAAGCACUCCUACAGUAUCCGGGAGUUGCACAAUCUCAUGGUCUAAGGAAAUGAUACUUGACAUUAGAAAAGCUUUAGCAUACGAACUACAUGAUCUUGUGCUAGGCUUAGGAUUGGGUCUUGUCCAUCACAUCAUUCUCCUAAUGAUGUGAUCCCGUUAUCAACGACAUCCAAUGUCCAUGGUCAGGAAACCGUAACCAUCUAUUGAUUAACGAGCUAGUCAACUAGAGGCUUACUAGGGACAUGGUGUUGUCUAUGUAUCCACACAUGUAUCUAAGUUUCCUAUCAAUACAAUUCUAGCAUGGAUAAUAAACGAUUAUCAUGAACAAGGAAAUAUAAUAAUAAUCAAUUUAUUAUUGCCUCUAGGGCAUAUUUCCAACAGUCUCCCACUUGCACUAGAGUCAAUAAUCUAGUUCACAUCGAUAUGUGAUUAACACUCAAGGUCACAUUCCCAUGUGACUAACACCCAAGAGUUUACUAGAGUCAAUAAUCUAGUUCACAUUUACCAUGUGAUUAACACUUGAUGAGUUCUGGGUUUGAUCAUGUUAUGCUUGUGAGAGAGGUUAUAGUCAACGGGUCUGAACCUUUCAGAUCCGUGUGUGCUUUACAAAUCUCUAUGUCAUCUCCUAGAUGCAGCUACCACGUUCUAUUUGGAGCUAUUCCAAAUAACUGUUCUACUUGGAGCUAUUCUAAAUUGUUGCUCCAUUAUACGUAUCCGGUAUCUCUACUCAGAGCUAUCCGGAUAGGUGUUAAGCUUGCAUCGACGUAACCCUUUACGACGAACUCUUUUACCACCUCCAUAAUUGAGAAAAUUCCUUAGUCCACUAGUUACUAAGGAUAACUUUGACCGCUGUCCUGUGAUCCAUUCUUGGAUCACUCUUGUACCCCUUGACUGACUCAUGGUAAAGCACACUUCAGGUGCGGUACACAGCAUAGCAUACUGUAGAGCCUAUGUCUUAAGCAUAGGGGACGACCUUCGUUCCUUUCUCUCUAUUCUGCCAUGGUCGAGCUUUAAGUCUUAACUUCAUACCUUACAACUCAGGCAAGAACUCCUUCUUUGACUGAUCCAUCUUGAACACCUUCAAGAUCACGUCAAGGCAUGUGCUCACGUCAAGAUCACGUCGGUAUACCGAUACCUUGUUCAAUCUCGUUACCGGCAAGUCUCUUUACUCGUUCCGUAACACAUCAUCCCGUGAUCAACCCCUUGGUCACAUUGUGCACAUUAUGAUGAUGUCCUACCGAGUGGGCCCAGAGAUACCUCUCCGUUUACACGGAGUGACAAAAUCCCAAUCUCGAUUCGUGCCAACCCAACAGACACUUUCAGAGAUACCCGUAGUGUACCUUUAUAGCCACCCAGUUACGUUGUGACGUUUGGCACACCCAAAGCACUCCUACGGUAUCCGGGAGUUGCACAAUCUCAUGGUCUAAGGAAAUGAUACUUGACAUUAGAAAAGCUUUAGCAUACGAACUACAUGAUCUUGUGCUAGGCUUAGGAUUGGGUCUUGUCCAUCACAUCAUUCUCCUAAUGAUGUGAUCCCGUUAUCAACGACAUCCAAUGUCCAUGGUCAGGAAACCGUAACCAUCUAUUGAUUAACGAGCCAGUCAACUAGAGGCUUACUAGGGACAUGGUGUUGUCUAUGUAUCCACACAUGUAUCUGAGUUUCCUAUCAAUACAAUUCUAGCAUGGAUAAUAAACGAUUAUCAUGAACAAGGAAAUAUAAUAAUAAUCAAUUUAUUAUUGCCUCUAGGGCAUAUUUCCAACAGUCUCCCACUUGCACUAGAGUCAAUAAUCUAGUUCACAUCACCAUGUGAUUAACACUGACAGGUCACAUCACCAUGUGACCAACAUCCAAAGAGUCUUGGGUUUGAUCAUGUUGCUUGUGAGAGAGGUUAUAGUCAACGGGUCUGAACCUUUCAGAUCCGUGUGUGCUUUACAAAUCUCUAUGUCAUCUCCUAGAUGCAGCUACCACGUUCUAUUUGGAGCUAUUCCAAAUAACUGUUCUACUUGGAGCUAUUCUAAAUUGUUGCUCCAUUAUACGUAUCCGGUAUCUCUACUCAGAGCUAUCCGGAUAGGUGUUAAGCUUGCAUCGACGUAACCCUUUACGACGAACUCUUUUACCACCUCCAUAAUUGAGAAAAUUCCUUAGUCCACUAGUUACUAAGGAUAACUUUGACCGCUGUCCUGCGAUCCAUUCUUGGAUCACCCUUGUACCCCUUGACUGACUCAUGGUAAAGCACACUUCAGGUGCGGUACACAGCAUAGCAUACUGUAGAGCCUAUGUCUUAAGCAUAGGGGAUGACCUUCGUUCCUUUCUCUCUAUUCUGCCAUGGUCGAGCUUUAAGUCUUAACUUCAUACCUUACAACUCAGGCAAGAACUCCUUCUUUGACUGGUCCAUCUUGAACACCUUCAAGAUCAUGUCAAGGUAUGUGCUCAUUUGAAAGUACUAUUAAGCGUUUUGAUCUAUCCUUAUAGAUCUUGAUGCUCAAUGUUCAAGUAGCUUAAUCCAGGUUUUCCAUUGAAAACACUUUCCAAAUAACCCUAUAUGCUUUCCAGAAAUUCUACGUCAUUUCUGAUCAUUAAUAUGUCAACAACAUAUAAUCAUCAGAAAUUCUAUAGUGCUCCCACUCACUUCUUUGGAAAUACAAGUUUCUCAUAAACUUUGUAUACACCCAAAAUCUUUGAUCAUCAUCAAAGCAUACAUUCCAACUCCGAGAUGCUCACUCCAGUCCUCAGAAGGAUUGCUGGAGCUUUGCAUACUUAUUAGCAUAUUUCAGGAUAGACAAAACCUUCCAGUUGUAUCACAUACAACCUUUCCUCAAGAAUCGUCGACGAAACAAUGUUUUGACAUCCUAUCUGCAAGAUUUCAUAAAUAAUGCAGUAAUUGUUAAUAUAAUUCCAACAGACUCUUAGCAUCGCUACGAGUGAGAAAGUCUCAUUGUAGUCAACUCCUUGAACUUGUCAAAAAACAUCUUAACGACAAGUCGAGCUUUCUCAAUGGUGACACUUACCAUCAUUGUCUGUCUUCCUUUCAAAAUCCAUAUGUACCUAACAGCCUUACGACCAUCAAGUAGUUCUUCCAAAGUCUACACUUUGUUUUCAUACAUGGAUCCUCUCUCGGGUUUUAUGGCCAUGAGCCAUUUAUCGGAAUCCGGGCCCACCAUUGCUUCUCCAUAGCUCGUAGGUUCAUUGUUGUCUAGCAACAUGACUUCCAAGACAGGAUUACUGUACCACUCUGAAGUAGUACGUAUCCUUGUCACCCUACGAGGUUUGGGAGUGACUUGAUCUGAAGUUUCAUGAUCACUAUCAUAAGCUUCUACUUCAAUUGGUGUAGGUGCCACAGGAACAACUUCCUGUGCCCUGCUACACACUGGUUGAAGUGAUGGUUCAAUAACCUCAUCAAGUCUCCACCAUCCUCCCACUCAAUUCUUUCGAGAGAAACCUUUCCUCGAGAAAGGACCCAAUUCUAGAAACAAUUCAUAUUGCUUUCGGAUCUGAAUUAGGAAGUAUACCCAACUGUUUUGGGUGUCCUAUGAAGAUGUACUUUAUCCGCUUUGGUUUCGAGCUUAAUCCUGAAACUUUUUCACAUAAGUGUCGCAGCCCCAAACCUUUAAGAAACGACAACUUAGGUUUCUCUAAACCAUAAUUCAUACGGUGUCAUCUCAUCGGAAUUACGUGGUGCCCUAUUUAAAGUGAAUGUGGUUGUCUUUAAUGCCUAACCCAUAAACUAUCGUGGCAGUUCGAUAAGAGACAUCAUGGUAUGCAUCAUAUCCAAUAGGGUGCAACUAUGAUGUUCGGACACACCAUCACACUAUGGUGUUCCAGGCGGUAUUAAUUGUGAAACAAUUUCCACAAUGUCUUAAUUGUGUGCCAAAACUCGUAACUCAGAUACUCAUCUCUAUGAUCAUAUCAUAGACAUUUUAUCCUCUUGUCACAAUGAUCUUCUACUUCACUCUGAAAUUACUUGAACCAUUCAACAAUUCAGACUUGUGUUUCAUCAAGUAAAUAUUCUCAACAUCUACUCGAAUCAUCUGUGAAGUAAGAACAUAACGAUAUUCACUGCAUGCCUCAGCACUCAUUGGACUGCACACAUCAAAAUGUGUUACUUCCAACAAGUUGCUAUCUUGUUCCAUCUUACUGAAAACGAGGCUUUUCAGUCAUCUUGCCCAUGUGGUAUGAUUUGCAUGUCCCAAGUGAUUCAAAAAUCAAGUGAGUCAAAACGGUCCAUUUGCAUGGAGUUUCUUCAUGCAUAUACACCAAUAGACAUGGUUCGCAUGUCUCAAACUUUUCAAAAACGAGUGAGCCCAAAGAUCCAUCAAUAUGGAGCUUCUUCAUGCGUUUUAUACCGAUAUGACUUACGUGGUAGUGCCACAAGUAGGUGGUACUAUCAUUACUAUCUUUUGGCAUGAACAUGUGUAUCACUACGAUCGAGAUUUAAUAAACCAUUCAUUUUAGGUGUAAGACCAUUGAAGGUAUUAUUCAAAUAAACAGAGUAACCAUUAUUCUCCUUAAAUGAAUAACCGUAUUGCGAUAGACGUAAUCCAAUCAUGUCUAUGCUCAACGCAAACACCAAAUAACAAUUAUUUAGGUUUAACACCAAUCUCUUUGGUAGAGGGAGCGUGCGAUGCUUGAUCAUAUCAAGCAUGGAAAAACUUACAACACAUAUCGUCAGCUCACCUUUAGCUAGUCUCUGUUUAUUCCGUAGCCUUUUGUUUCGAGUUACUAACACUUAGCAACCGAACUGGUAUCUAAUACCCUGGUGCUACUAGGAGUACUAGCAAAGUACACAUUAACACAAUGUAUAUCCAAUAUACUUCUAUCGACCUUGCCAGCCUUCUUAUCUACCAAGUAUCUAGGGUAAUUCUGCUCUAGUAGUUGUUCCCCUUAUUACAGAAGCACUUAGUCUCGGGUUUGGGUUUUACCUUGGGUUUCUUCACUAGAGCAGCAGCUGAUUUGCCGUUUCAUGAAGUAUCCCUUCUUGCCCUUGCCCUUCUUGAAACUAGUGGUUCCACCAACCAUCAACAAUUGAUGCUCCUUCUUGAUUUCUACUUUCGCGGUGUCAAACAUCGCGAAUACCUCAAGGAUCAUCAUAUCUAUCCCUGAUAUGUUAUAGUUCAUCAUGAAGCUCUAACAGCUUGGUGGCAAUGACUUUGGAGAACCAUCACUAUCUCAUCUGGAAGAUCAACUCCCACUCGAUUCAAGCGAUUGUUGUACUCAGACAAUCUGAGCACAAGCUCAACGAUUGAGCUUUUCUCCCUUAGUUUGCAGGUUAAGAAAGUCAUCGGAGGUCUUAUACCUCUUGACAUGGGCACGAGCCUGAAAUCCCAAUUUCAGCCCUCAAAACAUCUCAUAUGUUUCGCGAUGUUUCAAAAACGUCUUUGGUGCCUCAACUCUAAACCGUUUAACUGAACUAUCACGUAGUUAUCAAAACGUGUAUGUCAGAUGUUCGCAACAACCACAGACAACGUUCGAGGUUCAGCACACUGAGCGGUGCAUUAAGGACAUAAGCCUUCUAUGAAGCAAUGAGGACAAUCCUCAGUUUACGGACCUAGUCCGCAUAAUUGCUACUAUCAACUUUCAACUAAUUUUUCUCUAGGAACAUAUCUAAACAGUAGAACUAUAGCGUGAGCUACGACAUAAUUUGCAAAAACCUUUUGACUAUGUUCAGGAUAAUUAAGUUCAUCUUAUGAACUCCCACUCAGAUAGACAUCCCUCUAGUCAUCUAAGUGAUUACAUGAUCCGAGUCAAACUAGGCCGUGUCCGAUCAUCACGUGAGACGGACUAGUCAUCAUCGGUGAACAUCUUCAUGUUGAUCGUAUCUUCUAUACGACUCAUGUUCGACCUUUCGGUCUUCGUGUUCCGAGGCCAUGUAUGUACAUGCUAGGCUCGUCAAGUUAACCCUAAGUGUUUCGCGUGUGUAAAUCUGUCUUACACCCGUUGUAUGUGAACGUUAGAAUCUAACACCCGAUCAUCACGUGGUGCUUCGAAACACGAACUGUCGCAACGGUGCACAGUUAGGGGAGAACACUUCUUGAAAUUGUUGUAAGGGAUCAUCUUAUUUACUACCGUCGUUCUAAGCAAAUAAGAUGUAUAAACAUGAUAAACAUCACAUGCAAUCAAAUAGUGACAUGAUAUGGCCAUCAUCACUUUGCUCCUUUUGAUCUCCAUCUUCGGGGCUCCAUGAUCAUCAUCGUCACCGGCAUGACACCAUGAUCUCCAUCAUCAUGAUCUCCAUCAUCGUGUCUUCAUGAAGUUGCCUCGCCAACUAUUACUUCUACUACUAUGGCUAACGGUUAGCAAUAAAGUAAAGUAAUUACAUGACGUUUAAGUUGACACGCAGGUCACAAAUGAAUAAAGACAACUCCUAUGGCUCCUGCCGGUUGUCAUACUCAUCGACAUGCAAGUCGUGAUUCCUAUUACAAGAACAUGAUCAAUCUCAUACAUCACAUAUAUCAUUCAUCACAUCCUUUUUGGCCAUAUCACAUCACAUAGCAUACCCUGCAAAAACAAGUUAGACGUCCUCUAAUUGUUGUUUGCAUGUUUUACGUGGCUGCUAUGGGUUUCUAGCAAGAACGUUUCUUACCUACGCAUGAACAACAACGUGAUAUGCCAAUUGCUAUUUACCCUUCAUAAGGACCCUUUUCAUCGAAUCCGAUCCGACUAAAGUGGGAGAGACAGACACCCGCCAGCCACCUUAUGCAACUAGUGCAUGUUUGUCGGUGGAACCGGUCUCACGUAAGCGUACGUGUAAGGUUGGUCCGGGCCGCUUCAUCCCACGAUGCCGCCGAAUCAAGAUAAGACUAGUAACGGCAAGCAUAUUGAACAAUAUCAACGCCCACAACUACUUUGUGUUCUACUCGUGCAAAGAAUCUACGCAAUAGACCUAGCUCAUGAUGCCACUGUUGGGGAACGUAGCAGAAAUUCAAAAUUUUCCUACGUGUCACCAAGAUCUAUCUAUGGAGAUACUAGCAACGAGGGAAGGAGAGUGCAUCUACAUACCCUUGUAGAUCGCUAAGCGGAAGCGUUCAAGUGAACGGGGUUGAUGGAGUCGUACUCGUCGUGAUUCAGAUCACCGAUGAUCCUAGUGCCGAACGGACGGCACCUCCGCGUUCAACACACGUACAGCUCGACGAUGUCUCCCACGCCUUGAUCCAGCAAGGAGAGAGGGAGAGGUUGAGGAAGACUCCAUCCAGCAGCAGCACAACGGCGUGGUGGUGAUGGAGGAGCGUGGCAAUCCUGCAGGGCUUCGCCAAGCACCUACGGGAGAGGAGGAGGUGUCACGGGAGGGAGGGAGGCGCCAAGGGCUCAGGUAUAGAUGCCCUCCCUCCCCUCCACUAUAUAUAGGGGCAAGGGAGAGGGGGAGGCGCAUCCUUGCCCCUUCCUCCAAGGAAGGGGUGCGGCUAAGAGGGGGGGAGGAGUCCAUCCUCCCCAAGGCACCUCGGAGGUGCCUUCCCCCUUUAGGACUCUCCCCUUUUUCCUAUAUCUUGGCGCAUGGGCCUCUAGGGGCUGGUGCCCUUGGCCCAUGUAGGCCAAGGCGCACCCCCCUACAGCCCAUGUGGCCCCCCGGGGCAGGUGGCCCCACCCGGUGGGCCCCCGGGACCCUUCCGGUGGUCCCGGUACAAUACCGAUGACCCCGAAACUUGUCCCGAUGGCCGAAACAGGACUUCCUAUAUAUAAAUCUUUACCUCCGGACCAUUCCGGAACUCCUCGUGACGUCCGGGAUCUCAUCCGGGACUCCGAACAACAUUCGGUAACCACAUACAAACUUCCUUUAUAACCCUAGCGUCAUCGAACCUUAAGUGUGUAGACCCUACGGGUUCGGGAGACAUGUAGUCAUGACCGAGAUGUUCUCCGGUCAAUAACCAACAGCGGGAUCUGGAUACCCAUGUUGGCUCGCACAUGUUCCACGAUGAUCUCAUCGGAUGAACCACGAUGUCAAGGACUCAAUCAAUCCCGUAUACAAUUCCCUUUGUCUAGCGGUAUGGUACUUGCCCGAGAUUCGAUCGUCGGUAUACCGAUACCUUGUUCAAUCUCGUUACCGGCAAGCCUCUUUACUCGUUCCGUAACACAUCAUCCCGUGAUCAACCCCUUGGUCACAUUGUGCACAUUAUGAUGAUGUCCUACCGAGUGGGCCCAGAGAUACCUCUCCGUUUACACGGAGUGACAAAAUCCCAAUCUCGAUUCGUGCCAACCCAACAGACACUUUCAGAGAUACCCGUAGUGUACCUUUAUAGCCACCCAGUUACGUUGUGACGUUUGGCACACCCAAAGCACUCCUACGGUAUCCGGGAGUUGCACAAUCUCAUGGUCUAAGGAAAUGAUACUUGACAUUAGAAAAGCUUUAGCAUACGAACUACAUGAUCUUGUGCUAGGCUUAGNNNNNNNNNNUGAUCAACCCCUUGGUCACAUUGUGCACAUUAUGAUGAUGUCCUACCGAGUGGGCCCAGAGAUACCUCUCCGUUUACACGGAGUGACAAAAUCCCAAUCUCGAUUCGUGCCAACCCAACAGACAUUUUCAGAGAUACCCGUAGUGUACCUUUAUAGCCACCCAGUUACGUUGUGACGUUUGGCACACCCAAAGCACUCCUACGGUAUCCGGGAGUUGCACAAUCUCAUGGUCUAAGGAAAUGAUACUUGACAUUAGAAAAGCUUUAGCAUACGAACUACAUGAUCUUGUGCUAGGCUUAGGAUUGGGUCUUGUCCAUCACAUCAUUCUCCUAAUGAUGUGAUCCCGUUAUCAACGACAUCCAAUGUCCAUGGUCAGGAAACCGUAACCAUCUAUUGAUUAACGAGCUAGUCAACUAGAGGCUUACUAGGGACAUGGUGUUGUCUAUGUAUCCACACAUGUAUCUGAGUUUCCUAUCAAUACAAUUCUAGCAUGGAUAAUAAACGAUUAUCAUGAACAAGGAAAUAUAAUAAUAAUCAAUUUAUUAUUGCCUCUAGGGCAUAUUUCCAACAAGAAACGGGGAACAAACUGAUGAAAGAAUGAUCAUACCGAGGGAAUUCACUCAGAACUAACAAGAAUGAUAACGUGCUUUGACUGGAGCGGUUUAAAAACUGCUGGAAGGCUCUAGGGGAAUAAAGAUGGAAUGCCUUCAAAUUUCUAGGUCCGUAUGAUUUGAAAUACUUGCACACAAACCGCGCGAAAGCGUUCCUGGAAAUCUCAGCCCAAAAAAGGACGUUUAGUAAUUCUAAAAGGGACUACAGAAUGAAAAACAAUAGUUUUGGCAGUUAAAGUUUGAGAUUCGAUGGUGCCGUAGAUCCGUUUGGUCAUCAGGUGUAACGAGCCACACCCAUGUCUAGCUAGAGUAGUGUGCUAGGCUCAGGCUAGAGAAGAAACGGGGAACAAACUGAUGAAAGAAUGAUCAUACCGAGGGAAUUCACUCAGAACUAACAAGAAUGAUAACGUGCUCCGACUGGAGCGGUUUAGGAACUGCUGGAAGGCUCUAGGGGAAGAAAGAAGGAAUGACUUCUAAUUUUUAGGUCCGUAUGAUUUGAAAUACGUGCACACAAACCGCGCGAAAGCGUUCCUGGAAAUCUCAGCCCAAAAAAGGACGUUUAGUAUUCUAAAAGGGACUACAGAAUGAAAAACAAUAGUUUUGGCAGUUAAAGUUUGAGAUUCGACGGUGCCGUAGAUCCGUUUGGUCAUCAGGUGUUACGAGCCACACCCAUGUCUAGCUAGAAUAGUGUGCNNNNNNNNNNNNNNNNNNNNNNNNNCGUAUGAUUUGAAAUACGUGCACACAAACCGCGCGAAAGCGUUCCUGGAAAUCUCAGCCCAAAAAAGGACGUUUAGUAUUCUAAAAGGGACUACAGAAUGAAAAACAAUAGUUUUGGCAGUUAAAGUUUGAGAUUCGACGGUGCUGUAGAUCCGUUUGGUCAUCAGGUGUUACGAGCCACACCCAUGUCUAGCUAGAAUAGUGUGCUAGGCUCAGGCUAGAGAAGAAAAGGGGAACAAACUAAUGAAAGAAUGAUCAAUACGAGGGAAUUCACUCAGAACUAACAAUAAUGAUAACGUGCUCCGACUGGAGCGGUUUAGGAACUGCUGGAAGGCUCUAGGCGAAUAAAGAUGGAAUGACUUCUAAUUUUUACGUCCGUAUGAUUUGAAAUACUUGCACACAAACCACGCAAAAGCGUUCCUGGAAAUCUCGGCCUAAAAAGGACGUUUAGUAAUUCUAAAAGGGACUACAGGAUGAAAAAUAAUAGUUUGGGCAGUUAAAAUUUGAGAUUCGACGGUGCCGUAGAUCCGUUUGGUCAUCAGGUGUUACGAGCCACACCCAUGUCUAGCUAGAAUAGUGUGUUAGGCUCAGGCUAGAGAAGAAACGAGGAACAAACUGAUGAAAGAAUGAUCAUACCAAGGGAAUUCACUCAGAACUAACAAGAAUGAUAACGUGCUCCGACUGGAGCAGUUUAGAAACUGCUGGAAGGCUCUAGGGGAAUAAAGAUGGAAUGACUUCUGAUUUUUAGGUCCGUAUGAUUUGAAAUACGUGCACACAAACCCCGCGAAAGCGUUCCUGGAAAUCUCAGCCCAAAAAAGGACGUUUAGUAAUUCUAAAAGGGACUACAACAUGAAAAACAAUAGUUUUGGCAGUUAAAGUUUGAGAUUUCAUGGUGCCGUAGAUCUGUUUGGUCAUCAGGUGUUACGAGCCACACCCAUGUCUAGCUAGAAUAGUGUGUUAGGCUCAGGCUAGAAAAGAAACGGGAAACAAAGUGAUGAAAGAAUGACCAUACCGAGGGAAUUCACUCAGAACUAACAAGAAUGAUAACAUGCUCCGACUUGAGCGGUUUAGGAACUGCUGGAAGGCUCUAGGGGAAUAAAGAUGGAAUGACUUCUAAUGUUUAGGUCCGUAUGAUUUGAAAUACUUGCACAUAAACCGCACAAAAGCGUUCCUGGAAAUCUCAGCCCAAAAAAGGACGUUUAGUAAUUCUAAAAGGGACUACAGGAUGAAAAACAAUAGUUUUGGCAGUUAAAGUUUGAGAUUCGACGGUGCCGUAGAUCCGUUUGGUCAUCAGGUGUUACGAGCCACACCCAUGUCUAGCUAGAAUAGUGUGUUAGGCUCAGGCUAGAGAAGAAACUUGGAACAAACUGAUGAAAGAAUGAUCAAACCAACGGAAUUCACUCAGAACUAACAAUAAUGAUAACGUGCUCCGACUGGAGCAGUUUAGGAACUGCUGGAAGGCUCUAGGGGAAUAAAGAUGGAAUGACUUCUAAUUUUUAGGUCCGUAUGAUUUGAAAUACUUGCACGCAAACCGCGCGAAAGCGUUCCUGGAAAUAUCAGCCCAAAAAAGGACGUUUAGUAAUUCUAAAAGGGACUACAGGAUGAAAACAAUAGUUUUGGCAGUUAAAGUUUGAGAUUCAACAGUGCCGUAGAUCCGUUUGGUCAUCAGGUGUUAUGAGCCAUACCCAUGUCUAGCUAGAGUAGUGUGCUAGGCUCAGGCUAGAGAAGAAACAGGGAACAAACUGAUGAAAGAAUGAUCAUACCGAGGGAAUUCACUCAGAACUAACAAGAAUGAUAACGUGCUCCGACUGGAGCGGUUUAGGAACUGCUGGAAGGCUCUAGGGGAAUAAAGAUGGAGUGACUUCUAAAUUUUUAGGUCCGUAUGAUUUAAAAUACUUGCACACAAACCGCACGAAAGCGUUCCUUGAAAUCUCAGCCCAAAAAAGGACGUUUAGUAAGUCUAAAAGGGACUAUAGGAUGAAAAACAAUAGUUUUGGCAGUUAAAGUUUGAGAUUCGAUGGUGCCGUAGAUCUGUUUGGUCAUCAGGUGUUACGAGCCACACCCAUGUCUAGUUGGAAUAGUGUGCUAGGCUCAGACUAGAGAAGAAACAGGGAACAAACUGAUGAAAGAAUGAUCAAACCGAGGAAAUUCACUCAGAACUAACAAUAAUGAUAACAUGCUCCGACUGGAGCGGUUUAGGAACUGCUGGAAGGCUCUAGGGGAAUAAAGAUGGAAUGACUUCUAAAUUUUUAGGUCCGUAUGAUUUGAAAUAGUUGCACACAAACUGCGCGAAAGCGUUCCUGGAAAUCUCAGCCCAAAAAAGGACGUUUAGUAAUUCUAAAAGGGACUAUAGGAUGAAAAACAAUAGUUUUGGCAGUUAAAGUUUGAGAUUCGACGGUGCCGUAGAUCCGUUUGGUCAUCACGUGUUACAAGCCACACCCAUGUCUAGCUAGAGUAGUGUGCUAGGCUCAGACUAUAGAAGAAACGGGGACCAAACUGAUGAAAGAAUGAUCAAACCGAGGAAAUUCACUCAGAACUAACAAUAAUGAUAACAUGCUCCGACUGGAGCGGUUUAGGAACUACUGGAAGGCUCUAGGGGAAUAAAGAUGGAAUGACUUCUAAAUUUUUAGGUCCGUAUGAUUUUAAAUAGUUGCACACAAACUGCGCGAAAGCGUUCCUGGAAAUCUCAGCCCAAAAAAGGACGUUUAGUAAUUCUAAAAGGGACUACAGGAUGAAAAACAAUAGUUUGGGCAGUUAAAAUUUGAGAUUCGACGGUGCCGUAGAUCCGUUUGGUCAUCAGGUGUUACGAGCCACACCCAUGUCUAGCUAGAGUAGUGUGCUAGGCUCAGGCUAGAGAAGAAACAGGGAACAAACUGAUGAAAGAAUGAUCAUACCGAGGGAAUUCACUCAGAACUAACAAGAAUGAUAACGUGCUCUGACUGGAGCGGUUUAAGAACUGUUGGAAGGCUCUAGGGGAAUAAAGAUGGAAUCACUUCAAAUUUUUACGUCCGUGUGAUUUGAAAUACUUGCACACAAACCGCACGAAAGCGUUCCUGGAAAUCUCAGCCCAAAAAAGGACGUUUAGUAAGUCUAAAAGGGACUACACGAUGAAAAACAAUAGUUUUGGCAGUUAAAGUUUGAGAUUCGACAGUGCCGUAGAUCCGUUUGGUCAUCAGGUGUAACGAGCCACACCCAUGUCUAGAUAGAGUAGUGUGCUAGGCUCAAACUAGAGAAGAAACGGGGAACAAACUGAUGAAAGAAUGAUCAUACCGAGGGAAUUCACUCAGAAAUAACAAGAAUGAUAACGUGCUCUGACUGGAGCGGUUUAGGAACUGCUGGAAGGCUCUAGGGGAAUAAAGAAGGAAUGACUUCUAAUUUUUAGGUCCGUAUGAUUUGAAAUACGUGCACACAAACCCCGAGAAAGCGUUCCUGGAAAUCUCGACCCAAAAAAGGACGUUUAGUAAUUCUAAAAGGGACUACGGGAUGAAAAACAAUAGUUUUGGCAGUUAAAGUUUGAGAUUCGAUAAUGCCGUAGAUCCAUUUGGUCAUCAGGUGUAACGAGCCACACCCAUGUCUAGCUAGAGUAGUGUGCUAGGCUCAGACUAGAGAAGAAACAGGGAACAAACUGAUGAAAGAAUGAUCAUAUCGAGGGAAUUCACUCAGAACUAACAAGAAUGAUAACAUGCUCCGACUUGAGCGGUUUAGGAACUGCUGGAAGGCUCUAGGGGAAUAAAGAUGGAAUGACUUCUAAUUUUUAGGUCCGUAUGAUUUGAAAUACUUACACACAAACCACGCGAAAGCGUUCCUGGAAAUCUCAGCCCAAAAAAGGACGUUUAGUAAUUCUAAAAGGGACUACAUGAUGAAAAACAAUAGUUUUCGCAGUUAAAGUUUGAGAUUCGACGGUGCCGUAGAUCCGUUUGGUCAUCAAGUGUUACGAGCCACACCCAUGUCUAGCUAGAAUAGUGUGUUAGGCUCAGCCUAGAGAAGAAACGGGGAACAAACUGAUGAAAGAAUGAUCAUACCGAGGGAAUUCACUCAGAACUUACAAGAAUGAUAACGUGCUCCGACUUGAGCGGUUUAAGAACUGUUGGAAGGCUCUAGGGGAAUAAAGAUGGAAUCACUUCAAAUUUUUACGUCCGUGUGAUUUGAAAUACUUGCACACAAACCCCGAGAAAGCGUUCCUGGAAAUCUCGGCCGAAAAAAGGAUGUUUAAUAAUUCUAAAAGGGACUACAGGAUGAAAAACAAUAGCUUUGGCAGUUAAAGUUUGUGAUUCGAUGGUGCCGUAGAUCUGUUUGGUCAUCAGGUGUUAUGAGCCACACCCAUGUCUAGCUAGAAUAGUGUGUUAGGCUCAGGCUAGAGCAGAAACUAGGAACAAACUUAUGAAAGAAUGAUCAUACCGAGGGAAUUCACUCAGAACUAACAAGAAUGAUAACGUGCUCCGACUGGAGCGGUUUAGGAACUGCUGGAAGGCUCUAGGGGAAUAAAGAUGGAAUGACUUCUAAUUUUUAGGUCCGUAUGAUUUGAAAUACAUGCACACAAACCCCAAGAAAGCGUUCCUAGAAAUCUCAGCCCAAAAAGGACGUUUAGUAAUUCUAAAAGGGACUACAGGAUGAAAAACAAUAGGUUUGGCAGUUAAAGUUUGAGAUUCGAUAAUGCCGUAGAUCCGUUUGGUCAUCAGGUGUAACGAGCCACACCCAUGUCUAGCUACAUUAGUGUGCUAGGCUCAGACUAGAGAAGAAACGGGGAACAAACUGAUGAAAGAAUGAUCAUACCGAGGGAAUUCACUCAGAACUAACAAGAACGAUAACAUGCUCCGACUGCAGCGGUUUAGGAACUGCUGGAAGGCUCUAGGGGAAUAAAGAAGGAAUGACUUCUAAUUUUUAGGUCCGUAUGAUUUGAAAUACUUGCACACAAACCGCGCGAAAGCAUUCCUGGAAAUCUCAGCCCAAAAAAGGACGUUUAGUAAUUCUAAAAGGGACUACAGGAUGAAAAACAAUAAUUUUGGCAGUUAAAGUUUGAGAUUCGACGGUGCCGUAGAUCCGUUUGGUCAUCAGGUGUUACGGGCCAUACCCAUGUCUAGCUAGAAUAGUGUGUUAGGCUCAGGUUAGAGAAGAAACGGGGAACAAAGUGAUGAAAGAAUGAUCAUACCGAGGGAAUUCACUCAGAACUAACAAGAAUGAUAACGUGCUCCGACUGGAGCGGUUUAGGAAUUGCUGGAAGGCUCUAGGGGAAUAAAGAUGGAAUGACUUCUAUAUUUUACGUCCGUAUGAUUUGAAAUACUUGCACACAAACCACGCAAAAGCACUCCUGGAAAUAUCAGCCUAAAAAGGAUGUUUAGUAAUUCUAAAAGGGACUACAGGAUGAAAAAUAAUAGUUUUGGCAGUUAAAAUUUGAGAUUCAACGGUGCCGUAAAUCCGUUUGGUCAUCAGGUGUUACGAGCCACACCCAUGUCUAGCUAGAAUAGUGUGUUAGGCUCAGGUUAGAGAAGAAACGGGGAACAAACUGAUGAAAGAAUGAUCAUACAAGGGGAAUUCACUCAGAACUAUCAAGAAUGAUAACGUGCUCCGACUGGAGCAGUUUAGGAACUGCCGGAAGGCUCUAGGGGAAUAAAGAUGGAAUGACUUCUAAUUUUUAUGUCCGUAUGAUUUGAAAUACUUGCACACAAACCACGCAAAAGCGUUCCUGGAAAUCUCAGCCUAAAAAGGACGUUUAGUAAUUCUAAAAGGGACUACAGGAUGAAAAACAAUAGUUUGGGCAGUUAAAAUUCGAGAUUCGACGGUGCCGUAGAUCCGUUUGGUCAUCAGGUGUUACGAGCCACACCCAUGUCUAGCUAGAAUAGUGUGUUAGGCUCAGGCUAGAGAAGAAACGGGGAACAAACUGAUGAAAGAAUGAUCAUAUCGAGGGAAUUCACUCAGAACUAACAAGAAUGAUAACGUGCUCCGACUGGAGCGGUUUAGUAACUGCUGGAAGGCUCUAGGGGAAUAAAGAUGGAAUGACUUCUAAUUAUUAGGUCCGUAAGAUUUGAAUUACAUGCACACAAACCCCGAGAAAGCGUUCCUGGAAAUCUCGGUCGAAAAAAGGAUGUUUAGUAAUUCUAAAAGGGACUACAGGAUGAAAAACAAUAGUUUUGGCAGUUAAAGUUUGUGAUUCGAUGGUGCCGUAGAUCUGUUUGGUCAUCAGGUGUUACGAGCCACACCCAUGUCUAGCUAGAAUAGUGUGUUAGGCUCAGGCUAGAGCAGAAACGGGGAACAAACUUAUGAAAGAAUGAUCAUGCCGAGGGAAUUCACUCAGAACUAACAAGAAUGAUAACGUGCUCCGACUGGAGCGGUUUAGGAACUGCUGGAAGGCUCUAGGGGAAUAAAGAUGGAAUGACAUCAAAUUUUUAGGUCCGUAUGAUUUGAAAUACUUGCACACAAACCGCAAGAAAGCGUUCUUGGAAAUCUCCGCCCAAAAAAGGACGUUUAGUAAUUCUAAAAGGGUCUACAGGAUGAAAAACAAUAGUUCUGGCAGUUAAAGUUUGAGAUUCGAUAAUGUCGUAGAUCCGUUUGGUCAUCAGGCGUAACGAGCCACACCCAUUUCUAGCUAGAGUAGUGUGCUAGGCUCAGACUAGAGAAGAAACGGGGAACAACCUGAUGAAAGAAUGAUCAUACCGAGGGAAUUCACUCAGAACUAACAAGAAUGAUAACGUGCUCCGACUGGAGCGGUUUAGGAACUGCUGGAAGGCUCUACGGGAAUAAAGAAGGAAUGACUUCUAAUUUUUAGGUCCGUAUGAUUUGAAAUACGUGCACACAAACCCCGAGAAAGCGUUCCUGGAAAUCUCGGCCCAAAAAAGGACGUUUAGUAUUCUAAAAGCGACUACAGAAUGAAAAACAAUAGUUUUGGUAGUUAAAGUUUGAGAUUUAACGGUGCCGUAGAUCUGUUUGGUCAUCAGGUGUUACGAGCCACACCCAUGUCUAGCUAGAAUAGUGUGUUAGGCUCAGGCUAGAUAAGAAACAGGGAACAAAGUGAUGAAAGAAUGAUCAUACCAAGGGAAUUCACUCAGAACUAACAAGAACGAUAACAUGCUCCGACUGGAGUGGUUUAGGAACUGCUGGAAGGCUCUAGGGGAAUAAAGAUGGAAUGACUUCUAAUUUUUAGGUCUGUAUGAUUUGAAAUACUUGCACACAAACCGCACGAAAGCGUUCCUGGAAAUCUCAUCCCAAAAAAGGACGUUUAGUAAUUCUAAAAGGGACUACAGGAUGAAAAACAAUAGUUUUGGCAGUUAAAGUUUGAGAUUCGAUAAUGCUGUAGAUCCGUUUGGUCAUCAGGUGUAACGAGCCACACCCAUGUCUAGCUAGAGUAGUGUGCUAGGCUCAGACUAGAGAAGAAACGGGGAACAAACUGAUGAAAGAAUGAUCAUACCGAGGGAAUUCACUCAGAACUAACAAUAAUGAUAACGUGCUCCGACUGGAGCGGUUUAGGAACUGCUGGAAGGCUCUAGGGGAAUAAAGAUGGAAUGAGUUCUAAUUUUUAGGUCUGUAUGAUUUGAAAUACUUGCACACAAACCGCGUGAAAGCAUUCCUGGAAAUUUCAGCCCAAAAAAGGACGUUUAGUAAUUUUAAAAGGGACUACACGAUGAAAAACAAUAGUUUUGGCAGUUAAAGUUUGAGAUUCGACGGUGCCGUAGAUCCGUUUGGUCAUCAGGUGUUACGAGCCACACCCAUGUCUAGCUAGAAUAGUAUGUUAGGCUCGGGUAAGAGAAGAAACGGGGAACAAACUGAUGAAAGAAUGAUCAUACCAAGGGAAUUCACUCAGAACUAACAAGAAUGAUAACGUGCUCCGACUGGAGCGGUUUAGGAACUGCUGGAAGGCUCUAGGGGAAUAAAGAUGGAAUGACUUCUAAUUUUUACGUUCGUAUGAUUUGAAAUACUUGCACACAAACCACGCAAAAGCGUUCCUGGAAAUCUCAUCCUAAAAAAGGACGUUUAGUAAUUCUAAAAGGGACUACAGGAUGAAAAAUAAUAGUUUGGGCAGUUAAAAUUUGAGAUUCGACGGUGCCGUAGAUCCGUUUGGUCAUCAGGUGUUACGAGCCACACCCAUGUCUAGCUAGAAUAGUGUGUUAGGCUCAGGCUAGAGAAGAAACGGGGAACAAACUGAUGAAAGAAUGAUCAUAUCGAGGGAAUUCACUCAGAACUAACAAGAAUGAUAACGUGCUCCGACUGGAGCAGUUUAGAAACUGCUGGAAGGCUCUAGGGGAAUAAAGAUGGAAUGACUUCUAAUUUUUAGGUCUGUAUGAUUUGAAAUACGUGCACACGAACCCCGAGAAAGCGUUCCUGGAAAUCUCGGCCCAAAAAAGGACGUUUAGUAAUUCUAAAAGGGACUACAGGAUGAAAAACAAUAGUUUUGGCAGUUAAAGUUUGAGAUUCGACGGUGCCGUAGAUCCGUUUGUUCAUCAGGUGUUACGAGCCACACCCAUGUCUAGCUAGAAUAGUGUGUUAGGCUCAGGCUAGAGAAGAAACGGGGAACAAACUGAUGAAAGAAUGAUCAUACCGAGGGAAUUCACUCAGAACUAACAAGAAUGAUAACGUGCUCCGACUGGAGCGGUUUAGGAACUGCUAGAAGGCUCUAGGGGAAUAAAGAAGGAAUGACUUCUAAUUUUUAGGUCCGUAUGAUUUGAAAUACGUGCACACAAACCCCGAGAAAGCGUUCCUGGAAAUCUUGGCCCAAAAAAGGACGUUUAGUAUUCUAAAAGCGACUACAGAAUGAAAAACAAUAGUUUUGCUAGUUAAAGUUUGAGAUUUGAUGGUGCCGUAGAUCUGUUUGGUCAUCAGGUUUUACGAGCCACACCCAUGUCUAGCUAGAAUAGUGUGUUAGGCUCAGGCUAGAAAAGAAACAGGGAAUAAAGUGAUGAAAGAAUGAUCAUACCAAGGGAAUUCACUCAGAACUAACAAGAACGAUAACAUGCUCCGACUGGAGUGGUUUAGAACUGCUGGAAGGCUAAAGGGGAAUAAAGAUGGAAUGACUUCUAAUUUUUAGGUCCGUAUGAUUUGAAAUACUUGCACACAAACCGCACGAAAGUGUUCCUGGAAAUCUCAGCCCAAAAAAGGACGUUUAGUAAUUCUAAAAGGGACUACAGGAUGAAAAACAAUAGUUUUGGCAGUUAAAGUUUGAGAUUCGAUAAUGACGUAGAUCCGUUUGGUCAUCAGGUGUAACGAGCCACACCCAUGUCUAGCUAGAGUAGUGUGCUAGGCUCAGACUAGAGAAGAAACGGGGAACAAACUGAUGAAAGAAUGAUCAUACCGAGGGAAUUCACUCAGAACUAACAAUAAUGAUAACGUGCUCCGACUAGAGCGGUUUAGGAACUGCUGGAAGGCUCUAGGGGAAUAAAGAUGGAAUGACUUCUAAUUUUUAGGUCCCUAUGAUUUGAAAUACUUGCACACAAACCGCGUGAAAGCAUUCCUGGAAAUUUCAGCCCAAAAAAGGACGUUUAGUAAUUUUAAAAGGGACUACACGAUGAAAAAGAAUAGUUUUGGCAGUUAAAGUUUGAGAUUCGACGGUGCCGUAGAUCCGUUUGGUCAUCAGGUGUUACGAGACACACCCAUGUCUAGCUAGAAUAGUAUGUUAGGCUCGGGUUAGAGAAGAAACGGGGAACAAACUGAUGAAAGAAUGAUCAUACCAAGGGAAUUCACUCAGAACUAACAAGAAUGAUAACGUGCUCCGACUGGAGCGGUUUAGGAACUGCUGGAAGGCUCUAGGGGAAUAAAGAUGGAAUGACUUCUAAUUUUUACGUUCGUAUGAUUUGAAAUACUUGCAAACAAACCACGCAAAAGCGUUCCUGGAAAUUUCAUCCUAAAAAAGGACGUUUAGUAAUUCUAAAAGGGACUACAGGAUGAAAAAUAAUAGUUUGGGCAGUUAAAAUUUGAGAUUCGAUGGUGCCGUAGAUCCGUUUGGUCAUCAGGUGUUACGAGCCACACCCAUGUCUAGCUAGAAUAGUGUGUUAGGCUCAGGCUAGAGAAGAAACGGGGAACAAACUGAUGAAAGAAUGAUCAUAUCGAGGGAAUUCACUCAGAACUAACAAGAAUGAUAACGUGCUCCGACUGGAGCAGUUUAGAAACUGCUGGAAGGCUCUAGGGGAAUAAAGAUGGAAUGACUUCUAAUUUUUAGGUCUGUAUGAUUUGAAAUACGUGCACACAAACCCCGAGAAAGCGUUCCUGGAAAUCUCGUCCGGAAAAAGGAUGUUUAAUAAUUCUAAAAGGGACUACAGGAUGAAAAACAAUAGUUUUGGCAGUUAAAGUUUGUGAUUCGAUGGUGCCGUAGAUCUGUUUGGUCAUCAGGUGUUACGGGCCACACCCAUGUCUAGCUAGAAUAGUGUGUUAGGCUCAGGCUAGAGCAGAAACGGGGAGCAAACUUAUGAAAGAAUGAUCAUAGCGAGGGAAUUUACUCAGAACUAACAAGAAUGAUAACGUGCUCCGACUGGAGCGGUUUAGGAACUGCUGGAAGGCUCUAGGGGAAUAAAGAUGGAAUGACUUCAAAUUUUCAGGUAUGUAUGAUCUGAAAUACUUGCACACAAACCGCGAGAAAGCGUUCCUGGAAAUCUCAACCCAAAAAAGGAUGUUUAGUAAUUCUAAAAGGGACUACAGGAUUAAAAACAAUAGUUUUGGCAGUUAAAGUUUGAGAUUCGAUAAUGUCGUAGAUCCGUUUGGUCAUCAGGUGUAACGAGCCACACCCAUGUCUAGCUAGAGUAGUGUGCUAGGCUCAUACUAGAGAAGAAACGGGGAACAAACUGAUGAAAGAAUGAUCAUACCGAGGGAAUUCACUCAGAACUAACAAGAAUGAUAACGUGCUCCGACUGGAGCGGUUUAGGAACUGCUGGAAGGCUCUAGGGGAAUAAAGAUGGAAUGACUUCUUAUUUUUAGGUCCGUAUGAUUUGAAAUACAUGCACACAAACCCCAAGAAAGCGUUCCGGGAAAUCUCGGCCCAAAGAAUGAUGUUUAGUAAUUCUAAAAGGGACUAUAGAAUGAAAAACAAUAGUUUUGGCAGUUAAAGUUUGAGAUUUGACGGUGUCGUAGAUCUGUUUGGUCAUCAGGUGUUACGAGCCACACCCAUUUCUAGCUAGAAUAGUGUGUUAGGCUCAGGCUAGAAAAGAAACGGGGAACAAAGUGAUGAAAGAAUGAUCAUACCGAGGGAAUUCACUCAGAACUAACAAGAAUGAUAACAUGCUCCGACUAGAGCGGUUUAGGAACUGCUGGAAGGCUCUAGGGGAAUAAAUAUGGAAUGACUUCUAAUUUUCAGGUCCGUAUGAUUUGAAAUACUUGCACACAAACCGCGCGAAAGCGUUCCUGGAAAUCUCAUCCCAAAGAAGGUCGUUUAGUAAUUCUAAAAGGGACUACAGGAUGAAAAACAAUAGUUUUGGCAAUUUAAGGUUUGAGAUUCGACGGUGCCGUAGAUCCGUUUGGUCAUCAGGUGUUACGAGCCACACCCAUGUCUAGCUAGAAUAGUGUGCUAGGCUCAGGCUAGAGAAGAAACAGGGAACAAACUGAUGAAAGAAUGAUCAAACCGAGGGAAUUCACUCAGAACUAACAAUAAUGAUAACGUUCUCCGUCUGGAGCGGUUUAGGAACUGCUGGAAGGCUCUAGGGGAAUAAAGAUGGAAUGACUUCUAAUUUUUAGGUCCGUAUGAUUUGAAAUACUUGCACACAAACCGCGCCAAAUCGUUCCUGGAAAUCUCAGCCCAAAAAAGGACGUUUAGUAAUUCUAAAAGGGACUACAGGAUGAAAAACAAUAGUUUUGGCAGUUAAAGUUUGAGAUUCGAUGGUGCCGUAGACCCGUUUGGUCAUCAGGUGUUACGAGCCACACCCAUGUCUAGCUAGAGUAGUGUGCUAGGUUCAGACUAGAGAAGAAACAGGGAACAAAGUGAUGAAAGAAUGAUCAUACCGAGGGAAUUCACUCAGAACUAACAAGAAUGAUAACGUGCUCCGACUGGAGCGGUUUAGGAACUGCUGGAAGGCUCUAGGGGAAUAAAGAUGGAAUGACUUCUAAUUUUUACGUCCGUAUGAUUUGAAAUACUUGCACACAAACCACGCAAAAGCGUUCCUGGAAAUCUCAGCCUAAAAAAGGACGUUUAGUAAUUCAAAAAGGGACUACAAAAUGAAAAACAAUAGUUUUGGCAGUUAAAGUUUGAGAUUCGAUGGUGCCGUAGAUCCGUUUGGUCAUCAGGUGUUACGAGCCACACCCAUGUCUAGCUAGGAUAGUGUGUUAGGCUCAGGC